GUACGGAGGCCUUGGCCAUGGUGGUAACCUAACAAUGUUCCCAGUGGGGGUGCCCAUUAGGGGAGGGGAGACUAACUGAAGUUUAGUUUGUUUAAAUUGAGCAAGAAUGCACAGCGGCACUCAGAUCUUUGGGGAAUGCGUUGGAAGCAUACCCUUUUCUGGGAUCUGUUUUCAUUUAUUUAAGGGGGAUGUUUGCAUUGCUCAAAAACUGCAAUACACAAACUUGCCAUACAAAAUGCCUUCCAAAUGUUUACACUGGUCUCUACAGAAGUGAGUAGAAAACAUGUAUAAUACUAGAUUGAAUUAAAGACCUAAGUGGAAAAAAAGUCGUCAUUGCUGACCUCUAAAAUAUCUGAUAGUUAAAACCCAACUAUUUUCUGUUGUAUGUGUGCAUAUAUGUACAAAACAUAUAUUCCCAAGUAUGACCAUUUAACUUGGAUAGGGAAGAUUAAGCAAAACUCCUUGAAGAAUAUGUCUUUAGAAUUGCGGGAAACUGGUUUUGAUUAAUAGGACACAUGCAAAUAUUCUCUUUUUAUUGGUUUGCAUAGAUGUGUAACAUGGAUUUUAUUGGAAUUUUAUUUUACAGCUUCUAAAGACAAAAUAAUUGAUUCCUCCACCCCCGAAAAACACCAAAUGUGAGAAACAAUAAGAUUGUAUGUUUUUUCACAUCUGACAAAAAUGUUAAGAUUUUAGUUGCUGCGUGUUAUUACAGCAAAAAAGAAUUCGGGAUACGAAUUGCCCUAUGCUAGCUUUCCGACAUUUCUGAAGUCUGUAAUGAAAAGAAUCUGUUCAGAAGAAACUUUCACUUUUUCUGCUUUCUAGCCUUUCUGGUGAUAAAGAACCAAGAGCAGACCGAGGAGACAAGGAGACUUCAGGCUACCAUGCUCCCUGGGUCUAACUCUGGUAGACAAAGUCUUCCUGAAAGUACUUCCUCUCUGACACCAGCUGAGAGACCACUGCACUUCCAUCACGUUAAAAAUGUAGGAAGGUCUAAGUUGAUCUCGGGUAUCAUUUAGGCCAAAACAAGAUUCUUCCUGAAAAACCCAACAUGAUUCAUGUGGAUUUUAACUUGAAGUCCGUUUUAUCAAAGUAAUUUUCGGAGGAUUUCUUUUCUAUUUUAAUCAAAAAGUGAAGUUGCAAUAAAUAUUCCCUCCCAAAAAAAGCCCCCCACAAUCUAUUUUAAUAUGUAAUUUCAGCAUGUAAUACUAUCCUUGAUAUCAAGGUCAAUAUUUUAAUUAAAUGUAUCAUCUGCUCUUGAAAAUGUAGAAAUUUCACUAAUAUGUAAGAAAUUAUAAAGGUGCCUAUUUUCUAUGGAAUUGUUACUUCUGUGCCUUGGAAUUUAGCGAUCCCACAUGCGAACUGGGUGCCAUGAAGCUCUGCUCAUGGAGACACGGUGUAUUCCUCACUCUGCUACCAAGCGCCAAGGUGAGUGAUGGGGGACAGAGGAUGAUGCUAUGAACAUUGAUUUACAGAAACAUCUUUGCUUUUCCUGUCAAGGAAUCUUACACUGGUUGCAGUCUCAUAUCUUAAUACAGUUUUUGAAUGAACAUUAACUAAUAUGAGGCAAUAUAAUAAAGUACAAGGGCAAAGAGCACAGCAUCAAGCUACCUGGGAUUUUAUACCACAUCUUCUACUUAUCAACUACGUGCCUUGAAACAAGUUACAUACCCUGCCUAUGCCUCAGUUUCCUUGUCUAUAAAAUGGACAUAAAAUUAUAAUUUUUACCCUGGAUUAUUUUGAGGAUUAAAUGAAAUAAUACAUGAAUGGCCCUGAAAGAAAGGUGCUUGGAACAUAGUAAGUCUUCAAUAAAUAUUAUGUAUAAAAUAGUACUGUAUGAAUAGGUCCUUAGUUUUAAUUGAGUUAAUUUGAACUAUUUUUAGUAUCUUCAGCAUUUUAAAGCAGUUAAUAGAUGCCUGUUUUAAUAAUACCAAAGACCUUGUUGACAUAGUAUUACCGAAAAUAUUUUGUAAUUGUUCUGGUAUCAGACAGCCAAAUCUGGAAAUAUUUAGAAACUGUUAACUUUACGAAAGACAGACCUGACCAAACAACUUAGAAGCAAGCUUCCUGAUAAAAUGUUUUUAAAAUUCCCCUGGAGAUAAUAUUGUGAGUUUAAAGUAGAAUAAUGAAGAGAUCAUGACAUAUUCCUUGGGACCUGUAACUGAUAUUAAUGAAGACAAGUUUAAUAUUCAAAUAUUUUUCAAAUUAUACUCAGUAUAUAAUUGUUCUUUACUGUGAACUAUUUUCUUGUAUUCAGACUUUAGCAUGUUUUCUCUACUGACAACUUUUAAAUACCAUAUUAAAUAUAUGAAAAAGAAUCCUAUUUGAAGAAGAAUCGUAAUAUCUAGAAGUGAAGUAAAGUGAAGUUGCUCAGUUGUGUCCGACUCUUUGCAACCCCAUGGACUGUAGCUUAUCAAGCUCCUCCGUCCAUGGGAUUUUCCAGGCAAGAGUGCUGGAGUGGAUUGCCAUUUCCUUCUCCAGGGGAUCUUCCCAACCCAGGAAUCGAACCAGGUCUCCCGCAUUGCAGGCAGACGCUUUACCGUCUGAGCCACCACGGAAGCCACAGAAUAUCUAGAAGAAACUGUCAAAUAUUUCCAUAAUCUGAAAGUUUCCUUAAUAAACUGUGCAUAAAGUGAAAGUGUUAGUUGCUCAGUCAUGUCUGACUCUUUGUGACCCCAUGGACUGUAGCUCGCCAGUGCAUAAGCACAGUGAAUUAGCACCAACGACACCUAUUCUGUGUCUCUGGGCUGCAGCCUCUCCCCAAGUUCAAGGUUACUUUGGUUGAAACCAGGCUGUCCUCUAAAGGGGCCAAGGUCAAAAGAGGUGGGGCUGAUCCACCGCCAUCUCAGGGUUAUAUACUUCAGUAUAAAUUAUUUCCUGCUGCUAAGUCACUUCAGUCGUGUCCAACUCUGUGUGACCCCAUAGACGGCAGCGUAGGCUCCCCAGUCCCUGGGAUUCUCCAGGCAAGAACACUGAAGUGGGUUGCCAUUUCCUCCUCCAAUGCAUCAAAGUGAAAAGUGAAAUACUGGAGUGGGGUUCCAUUGUCUUCUCUGAAAUUAUUUCCUAAUCCUGUUCAUUAUUAUUUGCUUCCCAAGGACAUAGAAUGUGCUGGAAACAUGCAUCUUCUUAAAAAUAUUUUGAUAUUUUUAAUUUAAUAAUGGUUGAAAAGUAAGAGCCAUGUUUCAAUUUUCCAGAGAUGAACUAUAGAACUUCUUUGUUAACCCACUGUAUUAAACUGGCUAAUGAACCACACAAAAUAUUUUUAAAUAUCUGUUAGAUAUAGUCACAUGACCUUUCAAAUAAUUCACUCUAACUUUGUCCAUACUGCCACCCAAUAUGAAAUGAUGAGACUGAUCAGAUAGUGAUAUCUUCUGAUGGAAACUAAGUAAUCUGAGGAUGAUAAGUUACAGUAGCAUCUGUGAGAAGAGUUGGGUAUAAAUCUUCCUCCUGCCAUUACAAGUACACCCUACAUCCUUGUGAAACCUUUGUAAUUUUCUAAAUUGGUUCUUAAAAUCAGUAUUUUUUUUAGAGUAAUUCUUUUCCUAGGCUAUCCCUUCACUUUUAUUUUCUGCGAAUGGAAGCACACUCAUUUAAUCUUUAGGAUUCAAAGUCAUCGUGGAGGGAAAAAAGUCUCAACACCAUAGUGAAUCAUUUGUAGCUGAAGGCGGCCUUUGUUCCCAGCCACCGGUUAGACUGCGCUUUCAUAGCCUGGUGCCUCUACCAGAGCCCUUGAUAUAUUCACGUAAAUGAUGGAAGAUACACGAGACGUGAAGGUGACACGUGAGUCUCCAGGAGGAAACUGAUACCCUGGAUGCUCGCUCAGGAGCCAUCCUGGCGUUAGCUGCACAGGCAGCCAUCCGGCUGCCCUCCCGGCUGGGAGGGAGGUGUUCAGGAGCAGCUGUCAGCAGAAAGAGGUAGAAAAGGGGCGAGGUCUCUUCAAUUCACAGAACUAAAAAUGGUUCAUAAAAAUCUCCAGUACUGUCUACUGAGAGCUGCCUUCUUUGCAAGAUUCCUGACGGACUGCCUCCAUACUUCUUUAGCCUCCUGGCUUAUCAGUUUCGGGGCAAUGUAUUACUCGGCCACCGCC
Molecule: long non-coding RNA, 4084 nt
Organism: Bos taurus (domestic cattle)
Lineage: Eukaryota; Metazoa; Chordata; Mammalia; Artiodactyla; Bovidae
Source: Ensembl